CACGUAGGGUGCGAGCGUUGUCCGGAAUUAUUGGGCGUAAAGAGCUCGUAGGCGGUGUGUCGCGUCGGCCGUGAAAACCUGCAGCUUAACUGUGGGCUUGCGGUCGAUACGGGCAUCACUGGAGUUCGGCAGGGGAGACUGGAAUUCCUGGUGUAGCGGUGAAAUGCGCAGAUAUCAGGAAGAACCCCCGUGGCGAAGGCGGCUCUCUGGAACGCGACUGACGCUGAGGCGCGAAAGCGUGGGGGGCAAACAGG
Molecule: ribosomal RNA, 254 nt
Filed under: uncultured bacterium
Lineage: Bacteria
Description: partial 16S ribosomal RNA
Rfam family: Bacterial small subunit ribosomal RNA
Source: RNAcentral